AGUGAACGCUGGCGGUAGGCCUAACACAUGCAAGUCGAACGGCAGCACAGUAAGAGCUUGCUCUUACGGGUGGCGAGUGGCGGACGGGUGAGGAAUACAUCGGAAUCUACUUUUUCGUGGGGGAUAACGUAGGGAAACUUACGCUAAUACCGCAUACGACCUACGGGUGAAAGCAGGGGAUCUUCGGACCUUGCGCGAUUGAAUGAGGCGAUGUCGGAUUAGCUAGUUGGCGGGGUAAAGGCCCACCAAGGCGACGAUCCGUAGCUGGUCUGAGAGGAUGAUCAGCCACACUGGAACUGAGACACGGUCCAGACUCCUACGGGAGGCAGCAGUGGGGAAUAUUGGACAAUGGGCGCAAGCCUGAUCCAGCCAUACCGCGUGGGUGAAGAAGGCCUUCGGGGUGUAAAGCCCUUUUGUUGGGAAAGAAAAGCAGCAGGUUAAUACCCCGCUGUUCUGACGGUACCCAAAGAAUAAGCACCGGCUAACUUCGU
This 491-nucleotide ribosomal RNA is filed under the name uncultured bacterium. RNAcentral describes it as "partial 16S ribosomal RNA". It matches the Rfam family "Bacterial small subunit ribosomal RNA", at positions 29 to 506 of the family's 1533-position model. The record is from RNAcentral.